GUCUACAGCCACGCCACCCUGAGCAAGCUGGAUCCUGUCUGAUCUCGGAAGCUAAGCAGGGUCAGGCCUGGUUAGUACUUGGAUGGGAGAUCACCUAGGAAGACCAGGUGCUGUAGGCA
RNAcentral lists this ribosomal RNA (119 nucleotides) under Pteropus alecto (black flying fox). Lineage: Eukaryota; Metazoa; Chordata; Mammalia; Chiroptera; Pteropodidae. The record is from RNAcentral.